This 585-nucleotide ribosomal RNA is filed under the name Bufotes boulengeri boulengeri. Its description in RNAcentral is "partial 16S ribosomal RNA". It matches the Rfam family "Bacterial large subunit ribosomal RNA", at positions 1809 to 2608 of the family's 2925-position model. Lineage: Eukaryota; Metazoa; Chordata; Amphibia; Anura; Bufonidae. The record is from RNAcentral.
AAAAACAUCGCCUCUUGAACCCUAUAAGAGGUCCAGCCUGCCCAGUGACUCUGUUCAACGGCCGCGGUAUCCUAACCGUGCGAAGGUAGCGUAAUCACUUGUUCUUUAAAUGUGGACUAGUAUGAAUGGCACCACGAAGGUUAUACUGUCUCCUUUUUCUAAUCAGUGAAACUAAUCUCCCCGUGAAGAAGCGGGGAUAAAAUUAUAAGACGAGAAGACCCUAUGGAGCUUUAAACAACACAGCACUUGCCACACAUUAUUAAAAUUUCAGAAUCUUUAACUACCCUAAGCAACAUGACUGUGAGUUUUUGGUUGGGGUGACCGCGGAGCAUAACACAACCUCCAUGUUGAAAGAAUCUUUUUCUAAGCUAAGAACUACAACUCUAAGCAUCAAUACAUUGACAUCCAUUGACCCAAUAUACUUGAACAACGAACCAAGUUACCCUAGGGAUAACAGCGCAAUCCGCUUCAAGAGCUCCUAUCGACAAGUGGGUUUACGACCUCGAUGUUGGAUCAGGGUUUCCCAGUGGUGCAGCCGCUACUAAAGGUUCGUUUGUUCAACGAUUAAAACCCUACGUGAUCUGA